CCAUCAUUUAAAGAAAGCGUAAUAGCUCACUGGUCGAGUCGGCCUGCGCGGAAGAUGUAACGGGGCUAAACCAUGCACCGAAGCUGCGGCAGCGACGCUUAUGCGUUGUUGGGUAGGGGAGCGUUCUGUAAGCCUGCGAAGGUGUACUGUGAGGUAUGCUGGAGGUAUCAGAAGUGCGAAUGCUGACAUAAGUAACGAUAAAGCGGGUGAAAAGCCCGCUCGCCGGAAGACCAAGGGUUCCUGUCCAACGUUAAUCGGGGCAGGGUGAGUCGACCCCUAAGGCGAGGCCGAAAGGCGUAGUCGAUGGGAAACAGGUUAAUAUUCCUGUACUUGGUGUUACUGCGAAGGGGGGACGGAGAAGGCUAUGUUGGCCGGGCGACGGUUGUCCCGGUUUAAGCGUGUAGGCUGGUUUUCCAGGCAAAUCCGGAAAAUCAAGGCUGAGGCGUGAUGACGAGGCACUACGGUGCUGAAGCAACAAAUGCCCUGCUUCCAGGAAAAGCCUCUAAGCAUCAGGUAACAUCAAAUCGUACCCCAAACCGACACAGGUGGUCAGGUAGAGAAUACCAAGGCGCUUGAGAGAACUCGGGUGAAGGAACUAGGCAAAAUGGUGCCGUAACUUCGGGAGAAGGCACGCUGAUAUGUAGGUGAAGUCCCUCGCGGAUGGAGCUGAAAUCAGUCGAAGAUACCAGCUGGCUGCAACUGUUUAUUAAAAACACAGCACUGUGCAAACACGAAAGUGGACGUAUACGGUGUGACGCCUGCCCGGUGCCGGAAGGUUAAUUGAUGGGGUUAGCGGUAAC
RNAcentral lists this ribosomal RNA (800 nucleotides) under Escherichia coli. RNAcentral's name for it is "partial 23S ribosomal RNA". It matches the Rfam family "Bacterial large subunit ribosomal RNA", at positions 1116 to 1900 of the family's 2925-position model. Lineage: Bacteria; Pseudomonadati; Pseudomonadota; Gammaproteobacteria; Enterobacterales; Enterobacteriaceae. The record is from RNAcentral.